This 301-nucleotide ribosomal RNA is filed under the name uncultured bacterium. Its description in RNAcentral is "partial 16S ribosomal RNA". It matches the Rfam family "Bacterial small subunit ribosomal RNA", at positions 509 to 807 of the family's 1533-position model. The record is from RNAcentral.
CAGUAUCCACGGUAAAACGUAGGGUGCGAGCGUUAAUCGGAAUUACUGGGCGUAAAGCGAGCGCAGACGGUUAUUUAAGCAGGAUGUGAAAUCCCCGGGCUUAACCUGGGAACUGCGUUCUGAACUGGAUAGCUAGAGUGUGUCAGAGGGGGGUAGAAUUCCACGUGUAGCAGUGAAAUGCGUAGAGAUGUGGAGGAAUACCGAUGGCGAAGGCAGCCCCCUGGGAUAACACUGACGUUCAUGCUCGAAAGCGUGGGUAGCAAACAGGAUUAGAUACCCGUGUAGUCCCUGUCUCUUAUAC